AUUUUAAAUUACGCUUUUAUAAGUAUAAUUUACAUUUAUUAUUAGACUUUUACAUAAGGGAUAUACAAAAUUAAUAUGUAAAUAACUUUCGACAGAUAUAUUUAAUAAUAUGUGUGAUAAUCGGUGUCAGUUAUUUCACAGAGAGAAUUACAAGAAAGAAGAAUUCUUACGUAUGAAAUGGUUUUUAAAGAAUCAACAGAAAUUAAUAGAUAAUUUAGGUAUUGCAAAGAGUACAGCACAAAUUAAAAUAAAAAGAAUAGAAAAAGAAUCACCAAAAAAAGAUAAGAUCGAGCCCAAAAUAAGUAAAAAAUACAUGCCGACAUGGAGACCACCUAAUAUUGAUGGUUCUGUAAAUAUUGAUAUAAUGAAACCAAUUGAGCCAGAAAUACGUGACAUUCUUUAUGAAAAAGGAAUUGAAAGUUUUAUUUGCAGUGAUAAUUAUUUUCGUAAAAGAUUACAGAAAUUGCCGGAAGAUCGUUUUUAUUUUCCCGAUUGUACAAAUUGGCUUUAUGGAUGGCGUCUUAAUGAUUAUAAUUUACCUCCUAUUAGUAAAUUUGGUGCCAAAUCUGUUAUACAGGCUCAAUUUUAUCAACGGACUGCAUCUUGUCUACAGCGAGACCCAGAUUGAUCUCCAUCCGAAGUACUUAAGGCUUCUAUCAGUUGGUUGUAAGAGAGGGGCAUACAUGGAAAGGCAAACACUCGCUAACGGAAUUAAUAUGGGGUGUCUGGUUGACGACGAUAACGAAAAUUGAUUUCACCCUUAUACCCCUCUUACUCGGGAUCUAUUCUCUUUCUCUCUCUCUCACACACACAUAUUAUAUGUUCCAUCCUUCUCUUCGUACAAUUCAUACCACCAGUAUGGGGAUUCUAUUCGAACGCACACUGAUGUUCAUGGGACACUGCGCAAACCAACAGAGGCACGCCUCUUUUCUAUCGACACGCCCUCAUUUCCUCCUAGAAUUUCCUUCUAUGUACCAACGCGAUUUUGUGUCACGUUCCAAGGAUUUUCACUUCAUACCUAAUCACGAUUUUUUUAUUAUCAUCUUUUAUCCUAUUCUAUUUUAUACGAUAUAUCUUAUACAUUGUUUUUCUUUUCUUUUUUUUUCUUUUUUUCUUUUUUUUUCUUUUUUUUUUUGAAAGGAGAGAAAGAAGAGAAAGGAGGGAGAGUACGUUUGAGUGGAAUUCUUGGAAAACGAUAGAGAUACUUUCUUAUGUGUUUCUAUGUACAGGGUGAGCUCAUAAUUAUCGUCUUUAUGAUGAUAAUUUACGAUUUUUUACUUUGUUAUCUGUUACAUGAGAAAGCUAUAUAUAUAUGUAAAACAUUUGUAUCUCUUCUUUUUUUUAAAUCGAAAAUAAUUGAUUCACUCUGUAUAUGCAAAUGCAGAUCUAUUACUAGUGUCAUUAAUCUUGAUCUACAAUUUAUUGUCUCCUUUAACGACAGCAUUUUAUUUUUCUCUUUCUCUCUCUCUUUCUCUCUCUCUCUCUCUCUCUCUCUCUCUCGUUAUAUACACGCCCUUCGAAAAUGACUUUUCACGAUAUUUCUCUCGAAUGAAUUCAGGUACUUAUAUAAAAAUUUUUUUUUGAUGAACGACUGUCGUUUAUAGAAAAAUGUAAUUGUGCCCGAUAAGCGACAUUAAUGCUACAAAUUUUAUUCAUUGUCACGCGCUAAAAUUGAGCCACAAGUUAGCAACCCUGUGGGAAACCACUGCAAAUAGUGCAAUCCCCGUCGGUGAUGAAAAGCACGUAGGGUGAUUCUCGUUUUUCAAAGGGAAGGAUAUAUUUUAUCAUUGACAUUAAUAUUUUUCUAAACAUUGAUAUCGUUCCUCUAUUUUUUUUAGAUUUCUCUUUUAUUUUUUAAAUCAUUAACAAAUUGAGGGAUAUGAUGAUACAUAAGAACAUAGAUAUACCAAAAUUGUAUGCUUAUGUGAACAUCCAGUAUAAGGCUAAAAAUCCUCUCGAAUAUGGUUUUGAAAAGAACAGUCAAAAGUGAAGAAUGGAAGGUUAUAUAUAUAUAUAUAUAAAAGAAGAAAGAAAAAAAAUCAGGAUCCCCUUAUAGAAUUUUUUUAUAUCGGCAUGGCACACGCAACUUCCCUGGACGAUCACUCGACACAUGCACGUGCUGAACGUACGCCAAAAAUUAUUUUCGGAUCAGUACACAUCGCUAUCUAUGAAGCUGCGGUCCUAUUAGUACUAUUAAAUAAUUCAUAGGAUUUAAAUUACUUUAAAAUGAUCUUUUCCAGAGUCACUAAUACGAUUUAUAUACAUAGAUAUAUUUGAUUUUUCAUGCGUUAAAUUUUAUUCGAGAACAAUGAAAAAUCCUGUGCAAAAAUGAAAUUAUUUCGAAACAUAGCUGUCAUUUCUACGUUAUAUUUAUAUUUUUAUCAUUUUUCGCUAAUCGUCGUUUAACGAGACAAAUAUAUAAAUGUUUGAACAAUUUUUUAUCUUCU
Vespa crabro (European hornet) is the source of this 2447-nucleotide RNA transcript. It is a transcript of the gene named protein ATP6V1FNB-like, with no coding region annotated. NCBI's taxonomy places the organism in Eukaryota, Metazoa, Arthropoda, Insecta, Hymenoptera, Vespidae. The record is from RefSeq and is a predicted model, not a curated record. The transcript is spliced from 5 exons.